UACGGAGGGAGCAAGCGUUACUCGGAAUUACUGGGCGUAAAGGGCGCGUAGGCGGCCUUCUAAGUCGGACGUGAAAUCCCCAGGCUUAACUUGGGAACUGCGUCCGAUACUGGAGGGCUUGAGUGCGGGAGAGGGAUGUGGAAUUCCAGGUGUAGCGGUGAAAUGCGUAGAUAUCUGGAGGAACACCGGUGGCGAAGGCGGCAUCCUGGACCGACACUGACGCUGAUGCGCGAAAGCCAGGGGGGCAAACGGG
RNAcentral lists this ribosomal RNA (253 nucleotides) under uncultured bacterium. RNAcentral's name for it is "partial 16S ribosomal RNA". It matches the Rfam family "Bacterial small subunit ribosomal RNA", at positions 524 to 776 of the family's 1533-position model. The record is from RNAcentral.